ACUCAAAUGAAUUGACGGGGGCCCGCACAAGCGGUGGAGCAUGUGGUUCAAUUCGACGCAACGCGAAGAACCUUACCUGGGCUCGAAAUGGAGUGGACUGAGGUAGAAAUAUCUCUUCCCCGCAAGGGGCUGCUCUAUAGGUGCUGCAUGGCUGUCGUCAGCUCGUGUCGUGAGAUGUUGGGUUAAGUCCCGCAACGAGCGCAACCCUUAUUGCCAGUUGCCACCGGGUCAAGCCGAGCACUCUGGCGAAACCGCCCUAGAUAAUGGGGAGGAAGGUGGGGAUGACGUCAAGUCCUCAUGGCCUUUAUGUCCAGGGCUACACACGUGCUACAAUGGUCGGUACAAACCGUCGCAAACCCGCGAGGGGAAGCUAAUCGGAAAAAGCCGGCCUCAGUUCGGAUUGGAGUCUGCAACCCGACUCCAUGAAGCUGGAAUCGCUAGUAAUCGCGGAUCAGAACGCCGCGGUGAAUACGUUCCCGGGCCUUGCACACACCGCCCGU
Molecule: ribosomal RNA, 500 nt
Filed under: uncultured bacterium
Lineage: Bacteria
Description: partial 16S ribosomal RNA
Rfam family: Bacterial small subunit ribosomal RNA
Source: RNAcentral